AUGGCCUACCAAGGCGACGACGGGUAGCCGGCCUGAGAGGGCGACCGGCCACACUGGGACUGAGACACGGCCCAGACUCCUACGGGAGGCAGCAGUGGGGAAUAUUGCGCAAUGGGCGGAAGCCUGACGCAGCGACGCCGCGUGAGGGAUGACGGCCUUCGGGUUGUAAACCUCUUUCAGCUCGGACGAAGCGAGAGUGACGGUACGAGCAGAAGAAGCACCGGCCAACUACGUGCCAGCAGCCGCGGUAAUACGUAGGGUGCAAGCGUUGUCCGGAAUUAUUGGGCGUAAAGAGCUCGUAGGCGGUUUGUCGCGUCGGAUGUGAAAACCCGGGGCUCAACUCCGGGCCUGCAUUCGAUACGGGCAGACUAGAGUUCGGUAGGGGAGACUGGAAUUCCUGGUGUAGCGGUGAAAUGCGCAGAUAUCAGGAGGAACACCGGUGGCGAAGGCGGGUCUCUGGGCCGAUACUGACGCUGAGGAGCGAAAGCGUGGGGAGCGAACAGGAUUAGCAUACCCUGGUAGUCCACGCCGUAAACGUUGGGCGCUAGGUGUGGGG
RNAcentral lists this ribosomal RNA (556 nucleotides) under uncultured bacterium. RNAcentral describes it as "bacterial SSU rRNA". It matches the Rfam family "Bacterial small subunit ribosomal RNA", at positions 260 to 827 of the family's 1533-position model. The record is from RNAcentral.